GACGAACGCUGGCGGCGUGCCUAAUACAUGCAAGUCGCGCGAAUCGGCGGAUGGGUGAGUAACGAGUGGGUCACCUGCCCUUCAAUCUGGGAUACCAUUGGGCAACAGCUGCUAAUACAGGAUAACAAAGGAUGGACCUGCGGUGCAUUAGGUAGUUGGUAAGGUAACGGCUUACCAAGGCGAGGAUGAAUAUCCUAGUUGAGCGACUGAUCGUCCAGAUGGGGACUGAGACACGGCGCAAACUCCUACGUGAGGCAGCAGUAGGGAAUCUUCCACAAUGGACGAAAGUCUGAUGGAGCAACGCCGCGUGAGUGAAGAGGGUUUUCGGAUCGUAAAGCUCGUUUGUUGGUGAAGCGGUAAUCAACCAGAAAGUCACGGCUAACUACGUGCCAGCCGCCGCGGUAAUAC
RNAcentral lists this ribosomal RNA (408 nucleotides) under uncultured bacterium. Its description in RNAcentral is "partial 16S ribosomal RNA". It matches the Rfam family "Bacterial small subunit ribosomal RNA", at positions 28 to 526 of the family's 1533-position model. The record is from RNAcentral.